UACGUAGGGACCAAGCGUUGUCCGGAAUCAUUGGGCGUAAAGAGCGUGUAGGCGGCUUGUUAAGUCUUGCGUGAAAUCUCGGGGCUCAACCCCGAGCGGUCGUGAGAAACUGGCAGGCUAGAGUGCGGGAGAGGAGAGUGGAAUUCCUGGUGUAGCGGUGAAAUGCGCAGAUAUCAGGAGGAACACCGGUGGCGAAGGCGGGUCUCUGGGCCGGAACUGACGCUGAGGAGCGAAAGCGUGGGGAGCGAACAGG
RNAcentral lists this ribosomal RNA (253 nucleotides) under uncultured bacterium. RNAcentral describes it as "partial 16S ribosomal RNA". It matches the Rfam family "Bacterial small subunit ribosomal RNA", at positions 524 to 776 of the family's 1533-position model. The record is from RNAcentral.